AGCCAGAUAGCCUGACCGCGGGAUCCGCGAAGCCGGUGAGAAUCCGGCACAGUCCCGCUACGGUGACCAGCCAGGCGGCCGCGGGGCCGCCGCUGGAAGUCCGGUCGCCGGACCCGCGGUCGUGCUCGAACCUUCGAGAGAGAGGGUAGGCACCG
Molecule: small RNA, 155 nt
Filed under: Chloroflexota bacterium
Lineage: Bacteria; Bacillati; Chloroflexota
Source: RNAcentral